This 641-nucleotide ribosomal RNA is filed under the name uncultured bacterium. RNAcentral describes it as "bacterial SSU rRNA". It matches the Rfam family "Bacterial small subunit ribosomal RNA", at positions 34 to 672 of the family's 1533-position model. The record is from RNAcentral.
CGCUGGCGGCGUGCCUAACACAUGCAAGUCGAGCGAAGUAUAUUUAAGUGAAGUUUUCGGAUGGAACUUAAAUAUAUCUUAGCGGCGGACGGGUGAGUAACGCGUGAGCAACCUGCCUUUCACAAAGGGAUAGCCUCGGGAAACUGGGAUUAAUACCAUAUGAAACUUAACUUUCGCAUGAAAGAUAAGUUAAGGCGAAUAAGCGGUGAAAGAUGGGCUCGCGUCCUAUUAGCUAGUUGGUGAGGUAACGGCUCACCAAGGCGACGAUAGGUAGCCGGCCUGAGAGGGUGAACGGCCACACUGGAACUGAGACACGGUCCAGACUCCUACGGGAGGCAGCAGUGGGGGAUAUUGCACAAUGGAGGAAACUCUGAUGCAGCGACGCCGCGUGAGUGAAGAAGGCCUUCGGGUCGUAAAGCUCUGUCCUAGGGGAAGAUAAUGACGGUACCCUAGGAGGAAGCCCCGGCUAACUACGUGCCAGCAGCCGCGGUAAUACGUAGGGGGCGAGCGUUGUCCGGAAUUACUGGGCGUAAAGAGUUCGUAGGCGGUCUGAUAAGUCAGAUGUGAAAGGCGUAGGCUUAACCUAUGUAAGCAUAUGAAACUGUCAGACUUGAGGUAAGGAGAGGAAAGUGGAAUUCCUA